Molecule: non-coding RNA, 100 nt
Organism: Crassisporium funariophilum
Lineage: Eukaryota; Fungi; Basidiomycota; Agaricomycetes; Agaricales; Crassisporiaceae
Source: the annotation of a GenBank genome assembly
GGUGGGUUGGCGUAAUGGCAACGCGCUAGUUUCCGGAUACGCCUGGCUUCAAACCCAGGCUAUCAGCUAGAGAUUCUGGGUUCGAGUCCCAGGCCUGUCG